CUACGGGUCGCAGCAGUAGGGAAUAUUGCUUAAUGGGCGAAAGCCUGAAGCAGCAACGCCGCGUGUGCGAUGAAGGCCUUCGGGUUGUAAAGCACUUUUUGGAGGGAUGAGGAAGGACAGUACCUCUAGAAUAAGCCUCGGCUAACUACGUGCCAGCAGCCGCGGUAAAACGUAGGAGGCGAGCGUUAUCCGGUUUUACUGGGCGUAAAGCGCGUGUAGGCGGAUCGGUAAGUUGGCUGUGAAAGCUCCUGGCUUAACUAGGAGAGGUCGGUCAAUACUGUCGGUCUAGAGUAUGUGAGAGGGAAGUGGAAUUCCGGGUGUAGUGGUGAAAUGCGUAGAUAUCCGGAGGAACACCAGAGGCGAAAGCGGCUUCCUGGCACAUAACUGACGCUCAGACGCGAAAGCUAGGGGAGCGAACGGGAUUAGAUACCUGUGUAGUC
Molecule: ribosomal RNA, 440 nt
Filed under: uncultured bacterium
Lineage: Bacteria
Description: partial 16S ribosomal RNA
Rfam family: Bacterial small subunit ribosomal RNA
Source: RNAcentral